UGUGGGAGCGGGCUUGCUCGCGAUACAGGCAGCGCGGUUUCUCAGGCAUACCGAGUCGCUGCCAUCGCGAGCAAGCCCGCUCCCACA
This 87-nucleotide non-coding RNA is filed under the name Pseudomonas psychrophila. The record is from RNAcentral. Lineage: Bacteria; Pseudomonadati; Pseudomonadota; Gammaproteobacteria; Pseudomonadales; Pseudomonadaceae.